Molecule: long non-coding RNA, 896 nt
Filed under: Nicotiana benthamiana
Lineage: Eukaryota; Viridiplantae; Streptophyta; Magnoliopsida; Solanales; Solanaceae
Description: long non-coding RNA (NBEN_LNC016341)
Source: RNAcentral
GGGCCCACUGGGGAGUUGGUAGCAGCUGCUGAUGAUAAAGAGGAAGUUGUUCUUGUAGCGCAGUUCGAUCUGGACAAAAUCAAGUCUAAAAGGCAGAGUUGGGGGGUAUUUCAUGAUCGACGCCCUGAUUUAUAUAAGGUUCUUUUGACAUUAGAUGGAAGCAACCCAGUCAACUGAUCCAAGAUGGACCAAGUAUCGCCGAUUCUCCUGCCUUUUUUUUUGUCAAUCAUAUCAAUAAAAGAGUGACUAAAAAAUAAUCUUGUAUUCAAGUUCUGCUGUAAUGUAACUCGCUAUGUACUGUAAUCUAUCACAAUCUUGGAGUUUGAAUCCUGCAAUGUUUCAUCAGUAGAAUUAAUGUGCUACUUUGAUGGGUUUGGUCACAUUGAACACAUUCAUCAUUGGGACCUUGAUUUGUAUUUAUGAUCGACGCCUUGAUUUAUAUAAGGUUCUUUUGACAGUAGAUGGAAGCAACCCAGUCAACUGAUCCAAGAUGGACCAAGUAUCGCCGAUUCUCCUGCCUUUUUUUUUGUCAAUCAUAUCAAUAAAAGAGUGACUAAAAAAUAAUCUUGUAUUCAAGUUCUGCUGUAAUGUAACUCGCUAUAGCAGCUGCUGAUGAUAAAGAGGAAGUUGUUCUUGUAGCGCAGUUCGAUCUGGACAAAAUCAAGUCUAAAAGGCAGAGUUGGGGGGUAUUUCAUGAUCGACGCCCUGAUUUAUAUAAGGUUCUUUUGACAUUAGAUGGAAGCAACCCAGUCAACUGAUCCAAGAUGGACCAAGUAUCGCCGAUUCUCCUGCCUUUUUUUUUGUCAAUCAUAUCAAUAAAAGAGUGACUAAAAAAUAAUCUUGUAUUCAAGUUCUGCUGUAAUGUAACUCGCUAUGUACUGUAAUCUAUCACAAUC